AUUGAACGCUAGCGGGAUGCUUUACACAUGCAAGUCGAACGGCAGCGCGGACUUCGGUCUGGCGGCGAGUGGCGAACGGGUGAGUAAUGUAUCGGAACGUGCCCAGUAGCGGGGGAUAACUACGCGAAAGCGUAGCUAAUACCGCAUACGCCCUACGGGGGAAAGCAGGGGAUCGUAAGACCUUGCACUCUUGGAGCGGCCGAUAUCGGAUUAGCUAGUUGGUGAGGUAACGGCUCACCAAGGCGACGAUCCGUAGCUGGUUUGAGAGGACGACCAGCCACACUGGAACUGGACCACGGCCCAGACUCCUACGGGAGGCAGCAGUGGGGAAUGUUGGACAAUGGGGGCAACCCUGAUCCAGCCAUCCCGCGUGUGCGAUGAAGGCCUUCGGGUUGUAAAGCACUUUUGGCAGGAAAGAAACGUCGCGGGCUAAUACCCCGUGGAACUGACGGUACCUGCAGAAUAAGCACCGGCUAACUACGUG
RNAcentral lists this ribosomal RNA (484 nucleotides) under uncultured bacterium. RNAcentral describes it as "partial 16S ribosomal RNA". It matches the Rfam family "Bacterial small subunit ribosomal RNA", at positions 30 to 507 of the family's 1533-position model. The record is from RNAcentral.